CCCCUAGACGUUCUGGGCCGCACGCGCGCUACACUGACGAAGGCAACGAGCUUUCCUUUACCGAAAGGUACGGGUAAUCUUUUGAAACUUCGCCGUGCUGGGGAUAGAUCCUUGCAAUUUUUGAUCUUAAACGAGGAAUGCCUAGUAAGCGCAAGUCAUCAACUUGCGUUGAUUACGUCCCUGCCCUUUGUACACACCGCCCGUCGCUACUACCGAUUGAAUGGUUUAGUGAGAUCCUUGGAUCGGCCCUGUCGCGGCUGGCAACGGCCGCGUCGGCGCGUCGAGAAGACGAUCAAACUUGAUCAUUUAGAGGAAGUAAAAGUCGUAACA
This 330-nucleotide ribosomal RNA is filed under the name uncultured eukaryote. RNAcentral describes it as "partial 18S ribosomal RNA". It matches the Rfam family "Eukaryotic small subunit ribosomal RNA", at positions 1470 to 1796 of the family's 1831-position model. The record is from RNAcentral.